This is a non-coding RNA of Camellia sinensis, 521 nucleotides long. NCBI's taxonomy places the organism in Eukaryota, Viridiplantae, Streptophyta, Magnoliopsida, Ericales, Theaceae. The record is from RefSeq and is a predicted model, not a curated record.
UCUCAUCGGCUCGAGUAUGAGGACAAGGGAAGCCAUUAUUUCUUGCUUUUGUGUUCCUCACAAGUAUGACGAUAAACAUCUCCUUUUCUCUUUCUUUUCUUUUCUUUUUUGAUUUUUCCUUUUUCCUUUAAUGAAAUUUUAUCCAAAUCUGCUUAUUUUGAGUUCUAACCUUUGAAAUACCUUGGGAUGAGUAGGUGAGUAUUGCCGACAUAGGCUAUGAUGAGGUAUAUGAUGCCACUGGUGAAGUCCCAUGCAGGGGGUUGUCUGAAGAAUCAUUGAAAAAAUUAUCAUGCCAUAUUAUCUUCGAUGAAGUGGCAGCAGCACAAAGCAUCUGCUGCACAAUAUGUUUGCAGGAUAUUGAAGGUGGGGAGAUUGCAAGGAGCUUGCCCCGAUGCCAGCACACAUUCCAAUUGAGUUGUGUGGACAAGUGGCUCAUCCGACAUGGCUUAUGCCCUGUAUGCAGACAAGACGUGUAAAUUGCGUGUAGGCUAUAGUUGUACAGAAAGGGAAGAAAAAAAAAA